AGAGUUUGAUCCUGGCUCAGAACGAACGCUGGCGGCGUGCCUAACACAUGCAAGUCGAGCGCGAAUGGAGCAAUCCUAGUAGAGCGGCGCACGGGUGCGUAACACGUGGAUAAUCUGCCUGGGUGUCCGGGAUAACCAGUCGAAAGAUUGGCUAAUACCGGAUAAGCCCCCGGGAGCUUCGGCUCUUGAGGGAAAAGGUGGCCUCUGUAUACAAGCUAUCACAUCCAGAUGAGUCCGCGGCCCAUCAGCUAGUUGGCGGGGUAAUGGCCCACCAAGGCAACGACGGGUAGCUGGUCUGAGAGGACGAUCAGCCACACUGGAACUGAGACACGGUCCAGACUCCUACGGGAGGCAGCAGUGGGGAAUUUUGCGCAAUGGGCGAAAGCCUGACGCAGCAACGCCGCGUGUGUGAUGAAGGUCUUCGGAUUGUAAAGCACUUUCGACCGGGACGAAAACCCGUUGGCUAACAUCCAACGGCUUGACGGUACCGGGAGAAGAAGCACCGGCUAACUCUGUGCCAGCAGCCGCGGUAAUACAGAGGGUGCAAGCGUUGUUCGGAAUUAUUGGGCGUAAAGCGCGUGUAGGCGGCUUUGCAAGUCGGGUGUGAAAGCCCUCAGCUCAACUGAGGAAGUGCGCCCGAAACUGCAGAGCUUGAGUGCCGGAGAGGGUGGCGGAAUUCCCCAAGUAGAGGUGAAAUUCGUAGAUAUGGGGAGGAACACCGGUGGCGAAGGCGGCCACCUGGACGGUAACUGACGCUGAGACCCGAAAGCGUGGGUAGCAAACAGGAUUAGAUACCCUGGUAGUCCACGCCGUAAACGAUGAGAACUAGGUGUCGUGGGUGUUGACCCCCGCGGUGCCGUAGCUAACGCAUUAAGUUCUCCGCCUGGGAAGUACGGUCGCAAGACUAAAACUUAAAGGAAUUGACGG
RNAcentral lists this ribosomal RNA (927 nucleotides) under uncultured bacterium. RNAcentral describes it as "bacterial SSU rRNA". It matches the Rfam family "Bacterial small subunit ribosomal RNA", at positions 8 to 916 of the family's 1533-position model. The record is from RNAcentral.